UACAGUAUAAGUGUUAACUAACAUGCUAAACACGGGCAAUAGAAUUAUGGGUGAUUCUUCUUUGUACUUUUCCUAAUUUUGGUGUUUAGUAUAAUUUUUUUCAAGUUAAUGUAUAGUCACAAAGCUAUUCUUUUUCACCUUUGUCUACAUCUGUUUUCUAAUUGUUGUUUUUAACAUAUAAAUGUAAUCUGUAAAUGCCAGCCUUUGGCUCAGAACCUUUGUCUCUUACAGUUCAAGGUAACAGAUGUUGAGUCCAUCAGAAUUCCCCUCACUCACAACUUCUGUAGUUGUUUCAGAAUGUGUUGCUCACAGUGUUUUCCUAAUCAUCUAUUAAAGCAGCAUUUUCUCUCUUCUUUUUAUAAUUUCACAGCCUUAGACUUCUGGACAGAAAGAUAUACUGCAAAUGUACCUCCCUCCUACAAAGCAGGCGUCAACUCCAAUGAGAAAGUAGUUGGUUACUCCAGCAAACCAUCAGGUCACUAUUGCAGCAGUGGGCCUGCCUUGCUUGUCAGCACCAAGAAUGUCACUCCAGCCCUGGUUGAAGGUUUGAAGACAGACUGCAGGUGCCUGGGGAGCAGUGUGUGCCUGCUGCACAGAAGUAGAUGGCUGAAUCUCCAGGCUGAGUGGCUGUGAUGUGCAAGGAAAGGUGUUUGACUUUCUUAUUCAAUAGAAGGUCUAGGAAAGACUUUGAACUCAGCCCACAACCUAGCUGUGCUCACAGACUGUGCACCUGCUCAACCAGGUGAGUGCACUAGCUUCCUAUUUAUCCUCGUGAGUAUCACAUUUUCAUACCUAGCUGGGUCAUAUAACCUGUGAACCAACCUAACCAGGUGAGUGAGUGUUCCAGAUCCCACUAUCCACUCAAUCUGAAUGUUCCCAGGCCUACCACCUGUGACUACACCUCUUGUCCACCAUCCCAGCCAGUCGAGAGCCCAGAAUCCAUCUACUCACAUCUUCUCCACACUUCAGAAGGCCUAUUUUGAGUCUUGCAGUCAUCAUACCAACCCAGACAUGUAAGUGUCCCAGAACCUCAGUGUGUCAUCCACACAGUCCCUGGCAUAGCUGGGCUUAAACAGCUUUUCAUCAGCACACAGACAUACACCGGAGCCAUAUCAACACACUUUUUUGAUAACUAAUUGUUGAAAUAGGUGCAGUGGGGCUGCGUCCCCAGUACCCCAGCCGCCUGGCUAGCUUAUGCCCGAAAUAACAACACACAAACUGUAUUCUUUUAAACACUGCUUGCCCAUUAUCUCCAGCCUCUUCUCAGCUAACUCUCGCACCUGGACUAGCCCAUUUCUAAUAAUCUGUGUAAGCACCCCAAGGUGCGCUUACCAGGAAGAUUCUAGCCUACGUCCAUCCUGGGUCGGAGCUGCCUGGGAGAGCGGAGCCUGGCAUCUCUGCUCCAGAGAGCCGAGCUAUCUUGUCUCUGUCUGAGGAGUCUUACCUCACUUCCUCUUCCUCCUGUUUACUCCUCCCACCUAUGUUUUAACCUAUCAGGGCAAGCAGUUUAUUUAAUUAACCAAUGAAAUCAACAGAUUGAUAUAUGACACUCCCACAUCAACUAAUGAAUUAGAAUCACUCUCAUCCUGCCAUUUAUAAUGAAUAUAUUGGGGCUGGAGAGAUGGCUCAGUGGUUAAGAGCAUUGCCUGCUCUUCCAAAGCUCCUGAGUUCAAUUCCCAGCAACCACAUGGUGGCUCACAACUAUCUGUAAAGAGGUCUGGUGCCCUCUUCUGGCCGUUAGGCAUACACACAGACAGAAUAUUGUAUACAUAAUAAAUAAAUAAAUAUUUAAAAAAAUAAUAAUGAAUAUAUCUGUCUGGAGAGCUGGCCUACCAACUACCUACUGACCUACCAACUCUUCACACAUGAUCUGAAACCAACCAAGCUUGAACAACAGCAAAAACAGAAACAAAAUUCUACUCCACAGAGGCAGGCUACAAUAUCAGACACAAUGAAAGAAGUCUAUAUGCCUAGAUCAUAUCACAAACACACAAACAUCAUGAAAGGCCAAGAUAAUCCCACCCCUCACAAAACACACAAAUUCUAUGAAAAUGUUGUCCAAUGAGAUCUACCUAGAUUAAUCCUAGAACACAGAAUUGAAAAGAAUUAUCAUAAACAUGAUGAUCUAAUUAGAGGGACUUAGAGAGGACAAUGAUAUUUGAAGAAUCAGGAUUUAAACAGCAGAGGGAAGAUUAAGAAAACAAAAAUAUAGAGCUGAGAAAAUAACUAACAGAAUUCAUGAUUGGAAAACUUUAUGUAAUAAAGAAAGAAAAUACUGAACCAAACUUAAGCUGAAAUAAAGAUCAACAGCACAUUUGCCAAAGUCAGGUGAAAGGCUUAUAAACAGAAUGAAGUAAAGCAUAAAUACUAGGAUGUGAAAAUAGAGAAAGUGCACCAGAUAAUCAAAGUCAUGUUAAAAAAUGAGGAAACUUUGAGACACUAUAACAAGACUAAAUACACAAAUUAUAAACAUAGAAAAAGAAUAGGAACUCCAAGUCGAUAACAUAGGAUAUAUGCUCAAUAGUGUUACAGCAGAAAACUUCCCUCAAAUUCCAGAAAGAUGCACCCACUCAAAUGUGAUGAUUGAAAAAUAUUUCAUGACAUAAACAGCCUAACAGAAUUUUAUACGCAACAAACCAGACCUAAGAAAAAUAGAAGAACCAAUAUUUAAAACUGAGUAGAAAUAAGGAUAGCAGAGAGACUGAGAGAAGAAAUACAAAAGUCAUAAGUAUAAAAACACAAAAUACUACUGUGCACACAAACAACAACAACCCAAUGACCACAGCUAAUAUACUCUUCAACAACACUGAAAAGCAAGUCUUUAAUCUCCAA
Alexandromys fortis (reed vole) is the source of this 2832-nucleotide long non-coding RNA. RefSeq lists it as uncharacterized. Lineage: Eukaryota; Metazoa; Chordata; Mammalia; Rodentia; Cricetidae. The record is from RefSeq and is a predicted model, not a curated record. The transcript is spliced from 3 exons.